This 397-nucleotide ribosomal RNA is filed under the name uncultured bacterium. Its description in RNAcentral is "partial 16S ribosomal RNA". It matches the Rfam family "Bacterial small subunit ribosomal RNA", at positions 523 to 918 of the family's 1533-position model. The record is from RNAcentral.
AUACGUAGGUGCCAAGCGUUAUCCGGAUUUACUGGGCGUAAAGGGCGUGUAGGCGGUCUUGCAAGUCAGAAGUGAAAUUCCUGAGCUCGACUCGGGCGCUGCUUCUGACACUGCAGGACUUGAGUGCUGGAGGGGAUAGCGGAAUUCCUAGCGGAGCGGCCAAAUGCGCAGAUAUUAGGAAGAACACCGGUGGCGAAGGCGGCUAUCUGGACAGUAACUGACGCUGAGGCGCGAAAGCGUGGGGAGCAAACAGGAUAAGAUCCCCUGGUAGUCCACGCCGUAAACGAUGAAUACUAGGUGUAGGGGGUAUCGACUCCCUCUGUGCCGCAGUUAACACAAUAAGUAUUCCGCCUGGGGAGUACGGCCGCAAGGUUGAAACUCAAAUGAAUUGACGGGG